RNAcentral lists this ribosomal RNA (246 nucleotides) under uncultured bacterium. RNAcentral describes it as "partial 16S ribosomal RNA". It matches the Rfam family "Bacterial small subunit ribosomal RNA", at positions 88 to 334 of the family's 1533-position model. The record is from RNAcentral.
AUGACGACCGGCGUACGGGUGAGUAACGCGUAUGCAACCUGCCCUGUACUGGGGGAUAGCCCGGAGAAAUUCGGAUUAAUACCCCAUAAAUAUAUUUGGAGGCAUCUUCAGAUAUUUAAAGUUUCGACGGUACGGGAUGGGCAUGCGUAACAUUAGCUUGUUGGUAAGGUAACGGCUUACCAAGGCUACGAUGUUUAGGGGUCCUGAGAGGGAGAUCCCCCACACUGGUACUGAGACACGGACCAG